AUUUUAGGAGCAAUUUUCAAAUCAAGAUCUUCCCACCAUGUCUAGUGUAGUGAUUUUUUUUCAGUUUGUAAUACAAUUUUACACAUUCGUUGGUCAUAUAUUGUUUAAAAGACACAAUACUAACACCUGUUAGGGAAAAGAAUCCUGUCUUUGAAAAGUAAAAAAAAUCUAGGGGAGAGAGGUUGAAAAAGAAAGAGGAAGAGCUAAGUAACUAGAAAUAUAAGGAAAUGUGAAAAUGACCUAGAGCCUACUUUAGCUUGGGUAAUCAGACACAGCCUCUCUGAGAAAGUUGCUGUUUAAGCUAAGCCCUGAUUAUCAGAGUUAUCCAACCAGGAUGCUGACCUGAAGGUCAUAUGUCACUAUGGAUAUUAGUAUUAUAGAAUUUUGGAGAAGAUAAGAGUCUAAUUUGGUUGUGGGCUCCAGAAAGUUUUCAGAUAAGGUUAAAAUGAAUGGCUGAACAUUUCUGAAGCAGAGGUUAUCCUAAGGAAAAUGAAGUUUGCGACCCAGAUAGUUAAUCAUCUAAGGGACACUACUCAAGUUAUUCUUCAAGAACAGGAAAGCUCAUCUAAAGGAAAGUUAACUAGGUGCUGAAGAUACUGCAAGGAGAGAGAUAAAAUCCCUCUUACAGAAUAAAGAUUUCUCAAGAUUUAGCUUCGUGGAAUGA
This 664-nucleotide long non-coding RNA is filed under the name Sus scrofa (pig). RNAcentral's name for it is "lncRNA (ENSSSCG00040039921.1)". Lineage: Eukaryota; Metazoa; Chordata; Mammalia; Artiodactyla; Suidae. The record is from RNAcentral.